Molecule: long non-coding RNA, 488 nt
Filed under: Zea mays
Lineage: Eukaryota; Viridiplantae; Streptophyta; Magnoliopsida; Poales; Poaceae
Description: long non-coding RNA (ZMAY_LNC001981)
Source: RNAcentral
AACAACACAAAUAAGUUCACAUGUCUCAUAAAUAAGUCCACAUGUCUUACAAAUAAGUCCACAUGUCUCACAAAUAAGUUCACAAAGAUCACAAUAUAUCACCGACAAUACAUAUCUCACAAAUAAGUUCACAAACGACGCACGCAAUUAGGCUCAGUUGGUGAAACAUGAGGAUCAUUCGAUGCCGCCGAUUGAUUCUGCAAAAAUGAGAAGGCAUUACAUGUGUGAGACAAGAUAAAUAUAUAUUAUAUUUAAUGAAAACUUUCAUACUCUACUAGGUUUCAAUUAGUGCAGUGGUUUGACCCUAAGCAUGAACAUACAAACUAAAACAGUCAUACUCACAGGAGUGGAAAACUGAGAUGGAGGUGGAUUUGGAGUGAAUAGCGAAGGUGGUGGAGCUACACCCGUUGCAGACUGUAUGUAAUGAAGAAUGUCCUCCGUCCUCUGCUGCUCGGACCUCAUCCUCGCAUCCAACUCCAAACGUUGCC